UACGGAGGAUGCAAGCGUUAUCCGGUAUGAUUGGGCGUAAAGCGUCCGCAGGUGGCUAUGUAAGUCUGCUGUUAAAGAGCAAAGCUUAACUUUGUAAAAGCAGUGGAAACUACAUAGCUAGAGUGCGUUCGGGGCAGAGGGAAUUCCUGGUGUAGCGGUGAAAUGCGUAGAGAUCAGGAAGAACACCGGUGGCGAAGGCGCUCUGCUAGGCCGCAACUGACACUGAGGGACGAAAGCUAGGGGAGCGAAUGGG
Molecule: ribosomal RNA, 253 nt
Filed under: uncultured bacterium
Lineage: Bacteria
Description: partial 16S ribosomal RNA
Rfam family: Bacterial small subunit ribosomal RNA
Source: RNAcentral